UUUUUUACCACUUUUUAAUGGACCAUUUUUUAAAUGUUUAUGAUUUUUCCAAAACUUUGAUUAUUAGAAGUUUAUGUAGUAGAUUUUAUAUUUGUAAUACAGUGUCUUCAUUAUAGAUUUUCUUUCUCUCUUUUUUUUCUUUUUUAAUGAAGGUAUUCUGUAUGCUGGAAUAAUGCUGACCAAGGAUGGCCCAAAAGUUCUAGAGUUUAAUUGCCGUUUUGGUGAUCCAGAGUGCCAAGUGGGUAAAAAUAUCAAAGUAUUACUUAGUAGAAGAUAUGUGUUAUUUUAAUCUUGGAAUUUAUCAGCCUGGAAGUAAUUUCCUUUGAAAAAUUCAUGCAAGUUCUGCUAGUACCCCAGUGAAUAAAAUGUUUAAGGAAAACUAAAAUUUAUCCUACUUGCCAUGUGGAUUAUGUUUUUCCAGGUAAUCCUCCCACUUCUUAAAAGUGAUCUUUAUGAAGUGAUUCAGUCCACCUUAGAUGGACUGCUCUGCACAUCUCUGCCUGUUUGGCUAGAAAACCACACCGCCCUAACUGUUGUCAUGGCAAGUAAAGGUUAUCCUGGAGACUACACCAAGGGUGUAGAGAUAACAGGGUUUCCUGAGGCUCAAGCUCUAGGACUGGAGGUGUUCCACGCAGGCACUGCCCUAAAAAAUGGCAAAGUAGUAACUCAUGGGGGUAGAGUUCUUGCAGUCACAGCCAUCCGGGAAAAUCUCGUAUCAGCCCUCGAGGAAGCCAAGAAAGGACUAGCUGCUAUAAAGUUUGAGGGAGCAAUUUAUAGGAAAGACAUCGGCUUUCGUGCCAUAGCUUUCCUCCAGCAGCCCAGGGGUUUGACUUACAAGGAAUCUGGAGUAGACAUCGCAGCUGGAAAUAUGCUGGUCAAGAAAAUUCAGCCUUUAGCAAAAGCCACUUCCAGAU
This 914-nucleotide small RNA is filed under the name Pongo abelii (Sumatran orangutan). RNAcentral's name for it is "retained intron". Lineage: Eukaryota; Metazoa; Chordata; Mammalia; Primates; Hominidae. The record is from RNAcentral.